AACUUUCGGCAAUGGAUCGCUUGGCUCUCGCAUCGAUGAAGAACGCAGCGAAAUGCGGUACGUAAUGUGAAUUGCAGAAUUCAGUGAAUCAUCGAAUCUUUGAACGCAUAUUGCGCUCUCUGGUAUUCCGGAGAUCAUGCUUGUUUGAGUAUCAGUAAACACCUCAAAUCCCUCUACUGCUUGGAGGAUGUUGGACUUGAGCAAUCCCAACUGUUCGCAAGAGAAGGCGGGUUGCUUGAAAUGCAGGUGCAGCUAGAUUCUUUCUUCUGAGCUAUAAGCAUACUUAUUUAAUCCCGUCAAACGGAUUAUUACUUUUGCUGCAGCUAACAUAAAGGUUGAAGAGUCGCUAUGGCUGACUGAUGCAGGAUUUAACAUGUCGCGCAAGCGAUCUGUAAACUCGAUCUCAAAUCAAGCAAGACUACCCGCUGAACUUAAGCAUAUCAAUAAGCGGAGGCU
This 456-nucleotide unclassified non-coding RNA is filed under the name uncultured Mortierella. Its description in RNAcentral is "sequence contains ITS2". The stretch from base 1 to 154 matches the Rfam family "5.8S ribosomal RNA". The record is from RNAcentral. Lineage: Eukaryota; Fungi; Mortierellomycota; Mortierellomycetes; Mortierellales; Mortierellaceae.